This 397-nucleotide ribosomal RNA is filed under the name uncultured bacterium. RNAcentral's name for it is "partial 16S ribosomal RNA". It matches the Rfam family "Bacterial small subunit ribosomal RNA", at positions 523 to 918 of the family's 1533-position model. The record is from RNAcentral.
AUACGUAGGUGACAAGCGUUAUCCGGAUUUACUGGGCGUAAAGGGCGUGUAGGCGGUCUUGCAAGUCAGAAGUGAAAUUCCUGAGCUCAACUCGGGCGCUGCUUCUGAAACUGCAGGACUUGAGUGCUGGAGGGGAUAGCGGAAUUCCUAGUGGAGCGGUAAAAUGCGCAGAUAUUAGGGAGAACACCGGUGGCGAAGGCGGCUAUCUGGACAGUAACGGACGCUGAGGCGCGAAAGCGUGGGGAGCAAACAGGUUUAGAUGCCCUGGUAGUCCACGCCGUAAACGAUGAAUACUAGGUGUAGGGUGUAUCGACUCCCUCUGUGCCGCAGUUAACACAAUAAGUAUUCCGCCUGGGGAGUACGGCCGCAAGGUUGAAACUCAAAUGAAUUGACGGGG